Molecule: ribosomal RNA, 433 nt
Filed under: uncultured bacterium
Lineage: Bacteria
Description: partial 16S ribosomal RNA
Rfam family: Bacterial small subunit ribosomal RNA
Source: RNAcentral
AACGAACGCUGGCGGCAUGCCUAACACAUGCAAGUCGAACGAAACCUUCGGGUCUAGUGGCGCACGUGUGCGUAACGCGGGGUAACCUGCCCUUGGGUUCGGAAUACCUCCCCGAAAGGGGUGCUAAUACCGGAUAAUGUCUUCCGACCAAAGAUUUAUCGCCUUUGGAUGGGCCCGCGUUAGAUUCGCUAGUUGGUAGGGUAAAAGCCUACCAAGGCGACGAUCCAUAGCUGGUCUGAGAGGAUGCUCCGCCACACUGGGACUGAGACACGGCCCAGACUCCUACGGGAGGGAGCAGUGGGGAAUAUUGGACGAUGGGCGAAAGUCUGAUCCAGCAAUGCCGCGUGAGUGAUGAAGGCCUUAGGGUUGUAAAGCUCUUUUACCCGGGAUGAUAAUGACAGUACCGGGAGAAUAAGCUCCGGCUAACUACGUG